This 450-nucleotide ribosomal RNA is filed under the name uncultured bacterium. RNAcentral describes it as "partial 16S ribosomal RNA". It matches the Rfam family "Bacterial small subunit ribosomal RNA", at positions 354 to 796 of the family's 1533-position model. The record is from RNAcentral.
GUGGGGAAUUUUGGACAAUGGGCGAAAGCCUGAUCCAGCCAUGCCGCGUGCAGGAUGAAGGCCUUCGGGUUGUAAACUGCUUUUGUACGGAACGAAAAGACUCCUUCUAAUAAAGGGGGUCCAUGACGGUACCGUAAGAAUAAGCACCGGCUAACUACGUGCCAGCAGCCGCGGUAAUACGUAGGGUGCAAGCGUUAAUCGGAAUUACUGGGCGUAAAGCGUGCGCAGGCGGUUAUAUAAGACAGAUGUGAAAUCCCCGGGCUCAACCUGGGAACUGCAUUUGUGACUGUAUAGCUAGAGUACGGUAGAGGGGGAUGGAAUUCCGCGUGUAGCAGUGAAAUGCGUAGAUAUGUGGAGGAACACCGAUGGCGAAGGCAAUCCCCUGGACCUGUACUGACGCUCAUGCACGAAAGCGUGGGGAGCAAACAGGAUUAGAUACCCCUGUAGUCC